This 203-nucleotide long non-coding RNA is filed under the name Elaeis guineensis (African oil palm). RNAcentral's name for it is "long non-coding RNA (EGUI_LNC070716)". The record is from RNAcentral. Lineage: Eukaryota; Viridiplantae; Streptophyta; Magnoliopsida; Arecales; Arecaceae.
CUGGGGUCUUUUCAAAUCGAGGUGACUCGAAAAUUUUUUUUCAGAAUUCCCACUGGAGCAUUGCUCUAGGUACGGCAUAAUAAUGAUUCUGUCAAUUGUCAGCCACCUGCCAUGAUGAGUGGGACACACGGCAAUUGCAGAUCGACCAAAAGAGAUCUGCAAUCAUCAUUACGCCAGACCCUGAGGCCUAUUUAAACCCAUCC